GACAGGUGCUGCAUUCAACCUGCUGUGCACAGAGAGGGACAAGAUUGUCAUGGAAAAAAUUGAGCGCCAUUUCAAUAGCGUUGUUCGUGAGGUGCCUAAUUGGCGAAGCGACGAGGACUUUGAGGCUGCCCUUAAAGAUGCAGGCCUGCUUUAGAUCAGAGAAACUCGACUAUAUAUAUUUAUAUGAGAGGCAUCAGAUCAUAGCAAUGUGCAUAAUAGUUGCUUCUGGCAAGCUAUUUACCAUUCUUUCUUUGGGUCUUGGUGUGAAAUUUAUACUUCUUGGGC
Long non-coding RNA from Asparagus officinalis (garden asparagus), 285 nucleotides. RefSeq lists it as uncharacterized. The transcript is spliced from 2 exons. NCBI's taxonomy places the organism in Eukaryota, Viridiplantae, Streptophyta, Magnoliopsida, Asparagales, Asparagaceae. The record is from RefSeq and is a predicted model, not a curated record.